RNAcentral lists this transfer RNA (75 nucleotides) under Salinibacter sp. 10B. Its description in RNAcentral is "tRNA-Glu". It matches the Rfam family "tRNA". From Rfam's summary of the family: Transfer RNA (tRNA) molecules are approximately 80 nucleotides in length. Lineage: Bacteria; Pseudomonadati; Rhodothermota; Rhodothermia; Rhodothermales; Salinibacteraceae. The record is from RNAcentral. RNAcentral also lists the same sequence under 1 other name.
GCCGCGUUCGUCUAGCCUGGUCUAGGACGCCGGCCUCUCACGCCGGUAACAUGGGUUCAAAUCCCAUACGCGGUA